CCUUACAAGUGACCCCGGUCUAACCACCGGGAUGUUCAUAACCCUUUGUUGUCCGACUCUGUUGCCUCCGGGGCGACCCUGCCUUCGGGCGGGGGCUCCGGGUGGACACUUCAAACUCUUGCGUAACUUUGCAGUCUGAGUAAACUUAAUUAAUAAAUUAAAACUUUUAACAACGGAUCUCUUGGUUCUGGCAUCGAUGAAGAACGCAGCGAAAUGCGAUAAGUAAUGUGAAUUGCAGAAUUCAGUGAAUCAUCGAAUCUUUGAACGCACAUUGCGCCCCCUGGUAUUCCGGGGGGCAUGCCUGUUCGAGCGUCAUUUCACCACUCAAGCCUCGCUUGGUAUUGGGCAACGCGGUCCGCCGCGUGCCUCAAAUCGACCGGCUGGGUCUUCUGUCCCCUAAGCGUUGUGGAAACUAUUCGCUAAAGGGUGUUCGGGAGGCUACGCCGUAAAACAACCCCAUUUCUAAGGUUGACCUCGGAUCAGGUAGGGAUACCCGCUGAACUUAAGCAUAUCAAUAAGCGGAGGAAAAGAAACCAACAGGGAUUGCUCUAGUAACGGCGAGUGAAGCAGCAAUAGCUCAAAUUUGAAAUCUGGCGUCUUCGACGUCCGAGUUGUAAUUUGUAGAGGAUGCUUCUGAGUAACCACCGACCUAAGUUCCUUGGAACAGGACGUCAUAGAGGGUGAGAAUCCCGUAUGCGGUCGGAAAGGUGCUCUAUACGUAGCUCCUUCGACGAGUCGAGUUGUUUGGGAAUGCAGCUCUAAAUGGGAGGUAAAUUUCUUCUAAAGCUAAAUAUUGGCCAGAGACCGAUAGCGCACAAGUAGAGUGAUCGAAAGAUGAAAAGCACUUUGGAAAGAGAGUUAAAAAGCACGUGAAAUUGUUAAAAGGGAAGGGAUUGCAACCAGACUUGCUCGCGGUGUUCCGCCGGUCUUCUGACCGGUCUACUCGCCGCGUUGCAGGCCAGCAUCGUCUGGUGCCGCUGGAUAAGACUUGAGGA
RNAcentral lists this ribosomal RNA (995 nucleotides) under Dothideomycetes sp. genotype csw009. RNAcentral describes it as "eukaryotic LSU rRNA". The stretch from base 470 to 995 matches the Rfam family "Eukaryotic large subunit ribosomal RNA", at positions 1 to 532 of the family's 3401-position model. Lineage: Eukaryota; Fungi; Ascomycota; Dothideomycetes. The record is from RNAcentral.